RNAcentral lists this ribosomal RNA (361 nucleotides) under Brevistachys subsimplex. RNAcentral describes it as "bacterial SSU rRNA". It matches the Rfam family "Eukaryotic small subunit ribosomal RNA", at positions 1471 to 1831 of the family's 1831-position model. Lineage: Eukaryota; Fungi; Ascomycota; Sordariomycetes; Hypocreales; Stachybotryaceae. The record is from RNAcentral.
CCUUAGAUGUCCUGGGCUGCACGCGCGCUACACUGAUGGAGCCAGCGAGUCCUCCCUUGGCCUAAAGGCCCGGGUAAUCUUGUUAAACUCCAUCGUGCUGGGGAUAGAGCAUUGCAAUUAUUGCUCUUCAACGAGGAAUCCCUAGUAAGCGCAAGUCAUCAGGUUGCGUUGAUUACGUCCCUGCCCUUUGUACACACCGCCCGUCGCUACUACCGAUUGAAUGGCUUAGUGAGGCGUUCGGACUGGCCCAGGGAGGCGGGUAACUGCCCCCCAGGGCCGGAAAGUUCUCCAAACUUGGUCAUUUAGAGGAAGUAAAAGUCGUAACAAGGUCUCCGUUGGUGAACCAGCGGAGGGAUCAUUA